Phascolarctos cinereus (koala) is the source of this 266-nucleotide non-coding RNA. Lineage: Eukaryota; Metazoa; Chordata; Mammalia; Diprotodontia; Phascolarctidae. The record is from RefSeq and is a predicted model, not a curated record.
UAAAACCUCUUACCUAGAAUUCUGGCUCCAAGGUCGCCAUAGCUUCAUUCUGAGUCUGGUGCUGGCACUGAAAACUGAAAAUAUCCAACAACACAGAACAGAAACAAACCCCAGGCCAAGAGGAACCUUGGAACCAAGAGUUAAGAGGAAGAUCAAAGUUCUUUGUGAACCAGGGUUACCAAAUCGUGGGUCAGAAAACUGAGUUUAAGAUCAGAGAAUUGAAGCAUGAAUAACCAGCAAGUAGAGGAACCAGGAUUCUAACCCAG